This 301-nucleotide RNase P RNA is filed under the name Methanosphaera sp. rholeuAM6. Its description in RNAcentral is "Archaeal RNase P". It matches the Rfam family "Archaeal RNase P". From Rfam's summary of the family: Ribonuclease P (RNase P) is a ubiquitous endoribonuclease, found in archaea, bacteria and eukarya as well as chloroplasts and mitochondria. Lineage: Archaea; Methanobacteriati; Methanobacteriota; Methanobacteria; Methanobacteriales; Methanobacteriaceae. The record is from Rfam by way of RNAcentral.
GUAAGCUAAAGCGCAGUUUACGGUGAAAAUAUUUUUUUUACUGAGGAAAUUCCACACACCAUAUUGAAACAUGAUGCUCUUAAUUGGCAUACAUCGAGAGUUGUGACCCUGUCGGAGAAACGAUACAAUAGGCUAUAAUUUGGCGAUAAUAGAUGAUGCGAUUGGGCUGAUUAGCCGGACUUUAGUAAUUGAUGAAACGAACAAUCCAUGUGGUGCAAAAGUAAACAUUGUAGUUGUACAAAGGUGACUUGCUUAGAUAAAUGCUGUGUUUGAAACAUGAAGUGGAUUACUCUUAGUAUAC